RNAcentral lists this ribosomal RNA (465 nucleotides) under uncultured Klebsiella sp. Its description in RNAcentral is "bacterial SSU rRNA". It matches the Rfam family "Bacterial small subunit ribosomal RNA", at positions 338 to 795 of the family's 1533-position model. Lineage: Bacteria; Pseudomonadati; Pseudomonadota; Gammaproteobacteria; Enterobacterales; Enterobacteriaceae. The record is from RNAcentral.
CCUACGGGGGGCAGCAGUGGGGAAUAUUGCACAAUGGGCGCAAGCCUGAUGCAGCCAUGCCGCGUGUGUGAAGAAGGCCUUCGGGUUGUAAAGCACUUUCAGCGGGGAGGAAGGCGGUGAGGUUAAUAACCUCAUCGAUUGACGUUACCCGCAGAAGAAGCACCGGCUAACUCCGUGCCAGCAGCCGCGGUAAUACGGAGGGUGCAAGCGUUAAUCGGAAUUACUGGGCGUAAAGCGCACGCAGGCGGUCUGUCAAGUCGGAUGUGAAAUCCCCGGGCUCAACCUGGGAACUGCAUUCGAAACUGGCAGGCUAGAGUCUUGGAGAGGGGGGUAGAAUUCCAGGGGUAGCGGUGAAAUGCGUAGAGAUCUGGAGGAAUACCGGUGGCGAAGGCGGCCCCCUGGACAAAGACUGACGCUCAGGUGCGAAAGCGUGGGGAGCAAACAGGAUUAGAUACCCCAGUAGUC